CAUCGGCAUCUAUACAUGCAGUCGAACGAACGGAGGAAGAGCUUGCUCUUCCAAAGUUAGUGGCGGACGGGUGAGUAACACGUGGGCAACCUGCCUGUAAGUUGGGGAUAACUCCGGGAAACCGGGGCUAAUACCGAAUGAUAGAGUGUGGCGCAUGCCACGCUCUUGAAAGAUGGUUUCGGCUAUCGCUUACAGAUGGGCCCGCGGUGCAUUAGCUAGUUGGUAGGGUAAUGGCCUACCAAGGCAACGAUGCAUAGCCGACCUGAGAGGGUGAUCGGCCACACUGGGACUGAGACACGGCCCAGACUCCUACGGGAGGCAGCAGUAGGGAAUCUUCCGCAAUGGACGAAAGUCUGACGGAGCAACGCCGCGUGUAUGAAGAAGGUUUUCGGAUCGUAAAGUACUGUUGUUAGAGAAGAACAAGGAUAAGAGUAACUGCUUGUCCCUUGACGGUAUCUAACCAGAAAGCCACGGCUAACUACGUGCCAGCAGCCGCGGUAAUACGUAGGUGGCAAGCGUUGUCCGGAUUUAUUGGGCGUAAAGCGCGCGCAGGCGGUCUUUUAAGUCUGAUGUGAAACCCCCCGGGUUAACCGG
This 594-nucleotide ribosomal RNA is filed under the name uncultured Listeria sp. RNAcentral describes it as "bacterial SSU rRNA". It matches the Rfam family "Bacterial small subunit ribosomal RNA", at positions 40 to 616 of the family's 1533-position model. Lineage: Bacteria; Bacillati; Bacillota; Bacilli; Caryophanales; Listeriaceae. The record is from RNAcentral.